UUCAAGUCUAGCCCAACGGUCUGAUGAAGAGAUAAAUGAUCAGUUUGCCCCUUUCAAUAGUCAUAUAAUAAUUAUAUUCAUGUAUAUUUUGAUUAUUUUAUAAUUUAAAAAAUAAAAAAAUAGAUUUAUCCCCACCAACAACCACAUAAUAGUUAGUUUGGGGGUUACUUUAGAAAAAAUUAAAAACCCCAUAAAUACCCAC
This 202-nucleotide long non-coding RNA is filed under the name Musa acuminata (dwarf banana). Its description in RNAcentral is "long non-coding RNA (MACU_LNC002652)". The record is from RNAcentral. Lineage: Eukaryota; Viridiplantae; Streptophyta; Magnoliopsida; Zingiberales; Musaceae.